RNAcentral lists this transfer RNA (73 nucleotides) under Stegodyphus mimosarum. It matches the Rfam family "tRNA". Rfam says of the family: Transfer RNA (tRNA) molecules are approximately 80 nucleotides in length. Their secondary structure includes four short double-helical elements and three loops (D, anti-codon, and T loops). The record is from Rfam by way of RNAcentral. Lineage: Eukaryota; Metazoa; Arthropoda; Arachnida; Araneae; Eresidae.
GCCAUCAUGGUGUAGCGGUCAGCGCACUUGGUUCUUAUUCGAGAGGUCCAUGGUUCGAGUCCCGGCGAGGGCA